This 77-nucleotide transfer RNA is filed under the name Hyphomicrobiales bacterium. RNAcentral's name for it is "Rhizobiales bacterium (activated sludge metagenome) tRNA-Arg". It matches the Rfam family "tRNA". Rfam says of the family: Transfer RNA (tRNA) molecules are approximately 80 nucleotides in length. Their secondary structure includes four short double-helical elements and three loops (D, anti-codon, and T loops). Further hydrogen bonds mediate the characteristic L-shaped molecular structure. tRNAs have two regions of fundamental functional importance: the anti-codon, which is responsible for specific mRNA codon recognition, and the 3' end, to which the tRNAs corresponding amino acid is attached (by aminoacyl-tRNA synthetases). tRNAs cope with the degeneracy of the genetic code in two manners: having more than one tRNA (with a specific anti-codon) for a particular amino acid; and 'wobble' base-pairing, i.e. permitting non-standard base-pairing at the 3rd anti-codon position. Lineage: Bacteria; Pseudomonadati; Pseudomonadota; Alphaproteobacteria; Hyphomicrobiales. The record is from RNAcentral. RNAcentral also lists the same sequence under 3 other names.
GGUCCCGUAGCUCAGCAGGAUAGAGCGGCAGUUUCCUAAACUGUAGGCCACUGGUUCGAAUCCAGUCGGGAUCACCA